AUCACUUCUCGGCCUUUUGGCUAAGAUCAAGUGUAGUAUCUGCUCUUAUCAGUUUAAUAUCUGAUAUGUCCUCUAUCUGAGGACAAUAUAUUAAAUGGAUUUUUGGAGCAGGGAGAUGGAAUAGGAGCUUGCUCCGUCCACUCCACACAUCGACCUGGUAUUGCAGUACUUCCAGGGAUGGAGCACCCCUU
Small nuclear RNA from Echinops telfairi (small Madagascar hedgehog), 191 nucleotides. Its record names the gene U2. It matches the Rfam family "U2 spliceosomal RNA". Rfam says of the family: U2 is a small nuclear RNA (snRNA) component of the spliceosome (involved in pre-mRNA splicing). Complementary binding between U2 snRNA (in an area lying towards the 5' end but 3' to hairpin I) and the branchpoint sequence (BPS) of the intron results the bulging out of an unpaired adenosine, on the BPS, which initiates a nucleophilic attack at the intronic 5' splice site, thus starting the first of two transesterification reactions that mediate splicing. Lineage: Eukaryota; Metazoa; Chordata; Mammalia; Afrosoricida; Tenrecidae. The record is from Ensembl.